Long non-coding RNA from Eucalyptus grandis, 1010 nucleotides. RefSeq lists it as uncharacterized. Lineage: Eukaryota; Viridiplantae; Streptophyta; Magnoliopsida; Myrtales; Myrtaceae. The record is from RefSeq and is a predicted model, not a curated record. The transcript is spliced from 3 exons.
AAUCAACAUUAUCUAUAGAAAAUCAGUUUGGGUUUAUCGCGAUUUCCUUACGAAUUCAUCGACUAAACUCGGUGCUCCUCACUUACUUGUGUCAAGACGCGAAUCGAAAAUCGAACCGAAUCGCGAAAUUGUUUUUCACGGUUCGGUUUUUAUCAAUUAACUGAACCCAAAACAGAUAAAAUCAAAUCUAAUUCGGUUCUCUCCCGACUCCCGUCUCUGAGUCCUCUUGUGUCUCUUGAUUUUUAUCGGUUUCCGUCUGAGUUCUCUCGACGGCGACUGCGACGGCGACGGCGGCAGGGACGGCGACUGCGACGGCGAUGGCAACCGAUUGAGGGACAGAGCCCCUUUCUUCGGCAAGUCUCUCCUUCGUCCCUCUUCCUUUUGCGACGGCGACAGCGACUGAGAAGAAUUUGUAGCGGCCACGUGCUCGAGCAUGUCCUGCGCGCGCUCUGCUCUGGACUGAGGGGCCGCCAGUGGCUUUAGAUCUGCGACGCCUCUUGCUUGCUCAGUGAGCUGGGCUAGUUCAAAUCGUUUGGCUUAUCUGGAACCAAUCCCCAGAGGAGCCAUGCUUCCCAGAUGUUGAACGAUCAAAUUUAUAAUAUUGGAGCAGCCAAUGCAACAAAUAUGAUUCCAGUACAGCAGCAGCAGCAGCAGCCGCCUGGUUCACAGGGCGCAUUUGGUAACAUGGCUCCAAAUACUCAGGGUCUGCAGUCUGGUAUGGUAACCCUACCAAACGCAUCCCAGAAUCACCCCAAUUUCUCACAACAGAGGCAGCCAAAUCAGCAGUGAGACACUGGUUUCGUGGUGGUGCUCGAGCAUCUCAGUACUCUUGGAUUGAUGCAGGGGUUACCACUGCGAUACUUGGAGGGUGGAACUUCUUGGCGUAGUCCUGCUUAUAGAAACUUGUUUUGGGGAGUAUAUAUGGUGAGGGAAAAGCUUGAUUAGGAAGACGCAUGUUCUGAUCUUCACUUUUGGCAAAAUAGAGAAGAAAAGGAAAUCUUUGCUUCACA